RNAcentral lists this ribosomal RNA (599 nucleotides) under uncultured bacterium. RNAcentral describes it as "bacterial SSU rRNA". It matches the Rfam family "Bacterial small subunit ribosomal RNA", at positions 338 to 944 of the family's 1533-position model. The record is from RNAcentral.
CCUACGGGAGGCAGCAGUUAGGAAUCUUCCACAAUGGGCGAAAGCCUGAUGGAGCGACGCCGCGUGAGGGAUGAAGGUUUUCGGAUCGUAAACCUCUGAAUCAGGGACGAAAGACGCUUUAUGCGGGAUGACGGUACCUGAGUAAUAGCACCGGCUAACUCCGUGCCAGCAGCCGCGGUAAUACGGAGGGUGCAAGCGUUACCCGGAAUCACUGGGCGUAAAGGGCGUGUAGGCGGGAUGUUAAGUCUGGCUUUAAAGACCGGGGCUCAACCUCGGGAGUGGGCUGGAUACUGGCAUUCUUGACCUCUGGAGAGGUACUCGGAAUUUCUGGUGUAGCGGUGGAAUGCGUAGAUACCAGAAGGAACACCGAUGGCGAAGGCAGAGUACUGGACAGAAGGUGACGCUGAGGCGCGAAAGUGUGGGGAGCGAACCGGAUUGGAUACCCGGGGUAGUCCACACCCUAAACGAUGUACGUUGGAUGACGGCAGGAUGCUGUCGUUGUCGAAGUUAACGCGAUAACGUACCGCCUGGGAAGUACGGCCGCAAGGUUGAAACUCAAAUGAAUUGACGGCUGAGAGNGCGAGCGACGACGAGGAGAG